This 440-nucleotide ribosomal RNA is filed under the name uncultured bacterium. RNAcentral describes it as "partial 16S ribosomal RNA". It matches the Rfam family "Bacterial small subunit ribosomal RNA", at positions 338 to 795 of the family's 1533-position model. The record is from RNAcentral.
CCUACGGGUGGCAGCAGUGGGGAAUAUUGCACAAUGGACGAAAGCCUGAUGCAGCAACGCCGCGUGAGGGAUGAAGGCCUUCGGGUUGUAAAGCUCUUUCCACAUGGAAGAUAAUGACGGUACUUGAGUAAGAAGCCCCGGCUAACUACGUGCCAGCAGCCGCGGUAAUACGUAGGGGGCCAGCGUUAUCCGGAUUUACUGGGCGGAAAGGGAGCGUAGGUGGUUUGUUAAGUCAGUUGGGAAAUGCUGGGGCUCAACCCGGAUAGUGCAGUUGAACCUGGCAAACUGGCGUUCAGGAGAGGUGAGCGGAAGUCGUGGUGUAGCGGUGAAAUGCAUAGAUAUUAGGAGGAACACCAGUUGCGAAGGCAGCUCACUGGACUGUAACUGACACUGAGGCUCGAAAGCGUGGGUAGCAAACAGGAUUAGAUACCCUGGUAGUC